Molecule: ribosomal RNA, 492 nt
Filed under: uncultured bacterium
Lineage: Bacteria
Description: partial 16S ribosomal RNA
Rfam family: Bacterial small subunit ribosomal RNA
Source: RNAcentral
AGUGAACGCUGGCGGUAGGCCUAACACAUGCAAGUCGAACGGCAGCACAGUAAGAGCUUGCUCUUACGGGUGGCGAGUGGCGGACGGGUGAGGAAUACAUCGGAAUCUACUUUUUCGUGGGGGAUAACGUAGGGAUACUUACGCUAAUACCGCAUACGACCUACGGGUGAAAGCAGUGGAUCUUCGGACCUUGCGCGAUUGAAUGAGCCGAUGUCGGAUUAGCUAGUUGGCGGGGUAAAGGCCCACCAAGGCGACGAUCCGUAGCUGGUCUGAGAGGAUGAUCAGCCACACUGGAACUGAGACACGGUCCAGACUCCUACGGGAGGCAGCAGUGGGGAAUAUUGGACAAUGGGCGCAAGCCUGAUCCAGCCAUACCGCGUGGGUGAAGAAGGCCUUCGGGUUGUAAAGCCCUUUUGUUGGGAAAGAAAAGCAGCAGGUUAAUACCCCGCUGUUCUGACGGUACCCAAAGAAUAAGCACCGGCUAACUUCGUG